Molecule: non-coding RNA, 5664 nt
Organism: Pelodiscus sinensis (Chinese soft-shelled turtle)
Lineage: Eukaryota; Metazoa; Chordata; Testudines; Trionychidae
Source: RefSeq, a predicted model, not a curated record
UGUUAUUAGGGGUUCCGCUAAAUUAUUUUGAAUUUAAAAGGGUUCUGUGACCAAAUAAAAUUGGGAAGCACUGGUCUAACGUGUUACAUGACUACACUUUCUUAAAGUUACAGACUAACAUGGCUACCCCUCUGAUACUGCCUCUGUGUGUGUUUUAACCAUGAUAUGAAAGUACUACGUCCAGUGUAAAAUAGUAGAUCAGUCUCCAUGAGCCAGAUGUUGGCAUUUCUACAGGUUACCAACCAAUGUAGCUAGGCACAAGUGACUCCAAAAAUCUCCAAAUAUCUCAUUACCUUUUUGUGUGUAAUGUCUCUUCUACAUAAUAUAUCUGUACAAAAAUUGUGUUGUGACAGUAACUCUAGUUUCUUAGCAGGGUUAUUAGAAGAUCAUUGUCAAUCAGAAGCCUUACCUAAUUAAAUGAAGGUGGUCAUCAAAUAUGGACUUUCAGAUUGGGAGAAUGGAUGGAAGUUUCGGUGUCUUGGGGCCCUCAUUGAGAAGAGUCUACUAAAACCUUCUUGAUGGUUGCAAGGGACAUGACCUAAUGUGAGCAUCGCUGGCUACAUAUAUGGCUGUCUAUCACAGGGAUAUCAUCUCAGUGCAGGAUAUGCACACCCUGUCAUACCCUCAUAGUGGUGUCAUGUACACAUUGAACAAGGAGGAUGACAGAAUAGGAGUCUGCAGCAUCUAUAGGAAAAGGAGUCAUUCCUCAGUUGAUGUAAUCUCUCGUAAGACAGAAAAGGACAACUUCAUUCCACUUCUAACUACAUUUUAUAGGAGAGUCAACAUAUUAUGAUCAACAGUAUGGAAGCCAAUUGAAUAGCUCUAAUGCAACUUCUAUGGACAUCUGAAUUUAUUUCAGAGAGAACAUUAUCGGUCACCAAAAUUCAUGCAGUCUCUGUACUAAAGUUUAGACCCAGAAUGACAAGGGUCAAGAAGAUCAAAGGCACUUAGAGACCCUGUUAGUUGUGUCACUGCAACCUUUUUCAUAAUCUUGCUUACAAGGAAAGGUGUGAUACUGAGCUAUAAUUCACUGGAUUGUCAACAUGAAGUGAUGACUUAUUGAGCAGAGGCCAUGUUUAUGUUUCAGAACAAGAGGCACCCUACCUUCUUUAAAAGGAAUUGUAAAGCGCCACCAGCAAACAAACCAGUUCUUCCCAACUGACCUUGACCAACCUGGAAGGGCACAGUUCCAAAACAUAGUUGUGUCAACUACUUGCAUUUCUGUCCCCCCUAAAUAAGCAUCUAUGAUCCCUAUAAUUCAAUUUUAAAUGUAAGUGCAUUAGUAGAGAAGUUGGAAUAAUGUUAUUGGAGUCCAGUUUAAAACCAUAAAUACAUUUAAUAAAAGUUGUACACUUUUUGAAAUGCUCUCUAAAAGAUCAAAAUAAGCAGUUAAGGGAUUCUGCCAGUUGUCUCACUUCUGUAUUAUCAUAAGUUUCUUCCUAUUAUGCACCUGACUGGCAUUGGCCAUCUAGCCUUACAGUUGCCCAAAUCACCAUUAUAUAAUUCCAUUUUCUAAUCUUAAGGAUCCAUUUCCAUCAUAUUAUAACAUGAUCAACAACAAUAUUAAUUCAACCUGUAUGUUAAUUGCUACAGAUAAUUAAAAAUACAAAUGUAAAAUGCUUGUGACAGACAAUGAAGUGCUUCAUGCUGUACAAUGCAUGGUAGAUCUUGCCUCCCAAGAAAUUUGUGUUGACAAAUAAUGCCACAUUGGAAGGACUGCAGUAAGAUUCUGCAUUUUUAAAAGCUUUUUGGUAAUGAGCUAAUGUCAUUUUUGUUGAUGUGGUUUAGUAUCAGACUAUUGCCUGUCAGUCUGAAAGAGCGACACAAAAUAUGGUUGUUUUUUCAGCCAGCUAAAGGUCUUACUCCUUUUCAAAAAAUAGUUUUCUAAAUUCCCAACUUCAGUACACAGAAUAUUUUAUUUCAGACUUUAAAAGAAAUUGAGGAGGAAAGAGUAAUUGUUGCCUCACUUCCUUGGCUUCCCUUAUCCCUCAUAAGCCCAGAUGUCCCCUUUGCUACAGGAAGUAAGGAAAGGCAGAAACAAUAUAGGCAAGAAGAGUCUCAAUUAUGGAAGGCAGAACACUCACUCAACAGCAUUUUGCCAAAGCUAAGAAACCAAAAACCACUACAGCUAUUGGUUCCCCACACAGAGUUCUUAUGCUUGGAGUUUGAACACAUUAGAAUAAAGAUCUGUGGGCAGAGGCCUUGUCUCCUGCCUUUUUAAUAGGGGUUCACAUUCUUCCUUUAAAGAAAAGCAGCAGGAAGUGUCUAAUCUCCCAAAUCUCAGGCAAGUAGAAAAGUUCACCUUUUUAUGAGAGAUGUUUUGAUAGCAUAUGACAUUCUUACCUUUUUUUUUUCUUAGCCUUCUACCCACAGAUUGAACUUGGAAUUAUCUACUGGAAUAUAGCAGCCAUAUAGUUUGUAGCUUUCAUAUCCCCUAAGAUCCUUUUCCCAGUUUCAUAACACUUCAAAGGCCACGAAACAUGUUUUACUUAAGUACUUUAAAAUGUUGAAUGAAAGGCACUAUACAAGCGUAAGUAAUUAUGACCCAGACUUACACAUACUACAGGAUCUUUUCUGACUGCUAUGAGGGUAGUCCAAAUUACACACCACUCAGAUUGGCAUUUCUGCACUCAGAUUCAGUCUGGUGGAAUACUUGUUUGGCUAUCACUGGACAUCUAAGGAGGGAUCACAGCAGCCAGUAAACAGGAUCUUGGGCUCAAAGCCAAAAGGUGGCAGCUGCCAUGGCUCAGAAGGAAGCCAGAUCACUUGAAUUACAAAACAAUCCAAUUACUUGAUAAAGUAUCAUGUGACCCUGUUUAGCUAAUGGUUUGCUAGUCAUCAGUUUAAAAUAAAGUGGUUUAGUUGCAAGGGACGUGUAUUAGACACAUGUUCCUAUUUAAAACAAUUGGAUUGUGAUUAGAAACAGUAGUAUAUGCACUUAUUGGGAGUUGUAACAAUACAGAUGUCUAUGCACCAAGGAGUUCUGAGGAGAUGGUACUCACAAAUAUGAACUUACUUAAGUAUGGAACAGCAUAAAUAUAUCUUUGACUUUUCCUUUGUUUUAUGUGAUGGUUUGGGAUGCAACUCCCAUGCUCUCCAUGUCCCUAAAUCUUUGCCAGAUUCCAGGAUUGGAUGACAGGUUGAAUCACUCAAUAAUUGCCCAGUUGGGUUCUUUCCCUCUGAAGCAUAUGGCAUUGGUCACUGUUGGAAGACAGGGUAAUGGGUCAGAUGGCAUUCUUAUAUUUGCACAUUUAAAAAAAAAUUGAAACAAUAUCUGCUAUGCUUCUGACUCCAUAUUUGUUUAGGAGAUUCUGACAAAGUAGUAAAAACAUUUGCCAUUUAAAAUGUUGCUUUCAAAACAAUUAUGAACAGUGUGUUAGUUGGCAGAAUUGUUGCAAAAAAGGGGUAUCUACUGAUUUUAAUGGAACCGCUCAUUAGAAUAACAGUUUGCAAGAUCAGACUAAGUGUCUACAUACCAUUUGUGCUAUAAGAAAAAAUUAAAGGUAAACUUAAUGUUCACCUUGUAGUCCCAUUGAUUAAAAUGCUGUCACAUUGUCUUGUUUUUCCAGAAGUGUAACAGUUCUUUUAGAGUUGUGAAUUCACUUUAGGUAUAUGUGAUGGAAAAAAUUGCCUUAAAUCAGAAGUCCAUCAAGAAGUUUUUUUGUCUAACCAGAAGCAUAAAGCCAGACGUGUAAUCAUCAGGACUUGAAGUUGGAAAUAUGCCCUUGAUAUCACUACAGUUAAGACUAGACAUUCAUUUCCAAUGUCACUUCUGUUCUGAGUCUCCUUUUUUCUCCAGUUAUCAUAUUUUCUCAACAAAUUCUUUGUGGAUUGGAAUUUUCCAUGGUUGCUCUAAACCUAGAGGUUAGAGUUUUUGAAAGUUGAGUUAUGAAUGAGGGUGGGAAAAGGAAGGAAGAGAGAGAUGCAAACACUUCCUAUGUGUUCAAGAGACAUGUUUUGCUUGUACAAUCUAAAACCAACUGAAUCUAAAGCUUUAGGUUUGUUUUAUAUAUUUGCAAAGUUCUUAUGUAUAUAUAUAGUAUGUUAUGUGUAUGUAUAGUAUGUUAAAAAGUUCAUGGAAAAGACAAAAUUUGUUAAGGCCACUAAAUCUCAUUGGCAAAAGUAACAAGCUAAGCAGCUUUAUAUCACAGUAUUUACAAGAUCAUUCCUGAAUUAAGGAUGACUGUUAGAACUCUAGCCUUACAAGUUUCUCAGUCAGAGAUCUAGUAGUGUGGUAUUUAUUAAGAAUAUAAUAUAUGGAUCAACCAGAGUUUCAUAGCCUGUCUUCUAUAGCAUUUUAUAUGUGAAAUUUUUCUAGUCUGAAAGGUUAUGUACUGCUAACAUGGUGGCACAGGACUACUCAUUUUUACAGUUACAGGCGUACAUGGCUGCCCCUCUCAGUCAUUUUUUUGAAAAACACCAAGGAUGUUAGGUUUUAUUCUUUGUCUUCCAGCUCCUGCCUCCACUUCCUGAAUUGAAGAAGAGACUGUUUCCUCUCUUCAUAGGCAUUAAAAUGUUAUAUUUUCCCAAAUACUGUAUUCAAACAUCCAGUUUUGCAGGUUGAAUAUUACUGCCUUCUUCAUGAUUCACAAGUUAACAUUAAGUCUGAUUAUGGCAACAGUCAGAGACCCAACAAGUCACAGCAGGAACUGCAAAGUAAAGGCUCCUCAGGCCAAGUAGGGGGGAAAACCCUUUUUAAUUAAAGUAUCAUUAUAAAGAAACAACAGAAAGGCACUACAAGUAAAGUGUUGACUAGCCAUUCCUGGGCAGUCUUCUUUCCUUCACUAAGAUCUAGAGAGUUCCUUAUGUUUACCCUGCUUGCAGACUAUUUCUAUACUCCAAAAAAGGGAGGCUGAGGAUAUACAACUCGAGUCAAAGCUUUCUUUUAUCUCAAAAUAAUCAUGUUUCCCCUACCCUCUUACAAACAGACAUUAGUUCUUAAACCUCUAAUAGCCAAUUUCUGCCAAGAGUAAAUGGGAUCCCCUUCCUAAAAAGUCAACUCCUCUAUUUUAUGUCAUUCUCCUCCUAAUAAUACUUUGUAGGUGGUGCAUUUCUGGAAAAGUUGCAUAGCUGAUUUCCAUUCAUGCAGAGUUACUCAUCAGCCCUCUAACUACAGAUAUGAUAUCCAGGAAUUCCAGCAAUAGUAUUUCAGAUUGGAUAGAGGUUAGGGAUGUUAAAAUGCUUGUAAUUAAGUAACCAUGUAACAACUGACAUUUUCAGUGGGCAGCAGUUGGCUCCACAGGAGCUUUGCAUACUGGCUCCUGUCGCCCUCCCCUCCCUCUCACUUCCUCCCCCACCCUCACUGCAUGUUGCUGCCUCUUUUACAGCAUAACAGGAGCCUGCAUGUAAAAGUUAACCAAUGAGCCCAGGCUCAUCAGUUAACUGUUUACACGGUUACACUGUCACAUCUGUAGUGGAAAACCCUGAGAGAGAUUGACAGCAUUUAAGGUGAUUACUAAUGGAGUACUUAAAAGAAGUCUCUGAUAAAAUAAAAAGAUAGAGGACCAAAUUUUCAAAGAUAAUUAGGCAUCUACCUUCCCUUGAAAUGAAUGGGAGUUAGGUGCCUAAAUAACUGAGUACCUGGACCUGAGGGGUUAUGUUAGAGGGAAAAGACUGGAUUGUGGAAAUCAAGUACAUUUAAGAAAAAAAAUUACCUUCUCCCUG